RNAcentral lists this ribosomal RNA (504 nucleotides) under uncultured Exiguobacterium sp. Its description in RNAcentral is "partial 16S ribosomal RNA". Lineage: Bacteria; Bacillati; Bacillota; Bacilli; Caryophanales. The record is from RNAcentral.
CACGUAGUUAGCCGUGGCUUUCUCGUAAGGUACCGUCAAGGUACGAGCAUUCCCUCUCGUACGUGUUCUUCCCUUACAACAGAGUUUUACGAUCCGAAAACCUUCAUCACUCACGCGGCGUUGCUCCAUCAGACUUUCGUCCAUUGUGGAAGAUUCCCUACUGCUGCCUCCCGUAGGAGUCUGGGCCGUGUCUCAGUCCCAGUGUGGCCGAUCACCCUCUCAGGUCGGCUAUGCAUCGUCGCCUUGGUGGGCCGUUACCCCACCAACUAGCUAAUGCACCGCAAGGCCAUCUCAAGGUGACGCCGGAGCGCCUUUCAUCAACGGACCAUGCGGUCCGAUGAACUAUCCGGUAUUAGCUCCGAUUUCUCGGAGUUAUCCCAAUCCUUGAGGCAGGUUCCUUACGUGUUACUCACCCGUCCGCCGCUCAUUCCACUGCCUUCCCUCCGAAGAGUUCCGUCAGUUUCCUGCGCUCGACUUGCAUGUAUUAGGCACGCCGCCAGCGUG